This 503-nucleotide ribosomal RNA is filed under the name uncultured bacterium. Its description in RNAcentral is "partial 16S ribosomal RNA". It matches the Rfam family "Bacterial small subunit ribosomal RNA", at positions 30 to 523 of the family's 1533-position model. The record is from RNAcentral.
ACUGAACGCUGGCGGCAGGCUUAACACAUGCAAGUCGAGCGGAGUGAUGGUGCUUGCACUAUCACUUAGCGGCGGACGGGUGAGUAAUGCUUAGGAAUCUGCCUAUUAGUGGGGGACAACAUCUCGAAAGGGAUGCUAAUACCGCAUACGUCCUACGGGAGAAAGCAGGGGAUCACUUGUGACCUUGCGCUAAUAGAUGAGCCUAAGUCGGAUUAGCUAGUUGGUGGGGUAAAGGCCUACCAAGGCGACGAUCUGUAGCGGGUCUGAGAGGAUGAUCCGCCACACUGGGACUGAGACACGGCCCAGACUCCUACGGGAGGCAGCAGUGGGGAAUAUUGGACAAUGGGGGGAACCCUGAUCCAGCCAUGCCGCGUGUGUGAAGAAGGCCUUAUGGUUGUAAAGCACUUUAAGCGAGGAGGAGGCUCUUUUGGUUAAUACCCAAGAUGAGUGGACGUUACUCGCAGAAUAAGCACCGGCUAACUCUGUGCCAGCAGCCGCCGUAA